RNAcentral lists this ribosomal RNA (1343 nucleotides) under uncultured bacterium. RNAcentral's name for it is "16S ribosomal RNA". It matches the Rfam family "Bacterial small subunit ribosomal RNA", at positions 28 to 1378 of the family's 1533-position model. The record is from RNAcentral.
GACGAACGCUGGCGGCGUGCUUAACACAUGCAAGUCGAACGGAAAGGCCCUGCUUUUGUGGGGUGCUCGAGUGGCGAACGGGUGAGUAACACGUGAGUAGCCUGCCCUUGACUUUGGGAUAACUUCAGGAAACUGGGGCUAAUACCGGAUAGGAGCUCCUGCUGCAUGGUGGGGGUUGGAAAGUUUCGGCGGUUGGGGAUGGACUCGCGGCUUAUCAGCUUGUUGGUGGGGUAGUGGCUUACCAAGGCUUUGACGGGUAGCCGGCCUGAGAGGGUGACCGGCCACAUUGGGACUGAGAUACGGCCCAGACUCCUACGGGAGGCAGCAGUGGGGAAUAUUGCACAAUGGGCGGAAGCCUGAUGCAGCAACGCCGCGUGCGGGAUGACGGCCUUCGGGUUGUAAACCGCUUUCGCCUGUGACGAAGCGUGAGUGACGGUAAUGGGUAAAGAAGCACCGGCUAACUACGUGCCAGCAGCCGCGGUGAUACGUAGGGUGCGAGCGUUGUCCGGAUUUAUUGGGCGUAAAGGGCUCGUAGGUGGUUGAUCGCGUCGGAAGUGUAAUCUUGGGGCUUAACCCUGAGCGUGCUUUCGAUACGGGUUGACUUGAGGAAGGUAGGGGAGAAUGGAAUUCCUGGUGGAGCGGUGGAAUGCGCAGAUAUCAGGAGGAACACCAGUGGCGAAGGCGGUUCUCUGGGCCUUUCCUGACGCUGAGGAGCGAAAGCGUGGGGAGCGAACAGGCUUAGAUACCCUGGUAGUCCACGCUGUAAACGGUGGGUACUAGGUGUGGGGUCCAUUCCACGGGUUCCGUGCCGUAGCUAACGCUUUAAGUACCCCGCCUGGGGAGUACGGCCGCAAGGCUAAAACUCAAAGGAAUUGACGGGGCCCCGCACAAGCGGCGGAGCAUGCGGAUUAAUUCGAUGCAACGCGUAGAACCUUACCUGGGUUUGACAUGGAUCGGGAGUGCUCAGAGAUGGGUGUGCCUCUUUUGGGGUCGGUUCACAGGUGGUGCAUGGCUGUCGUCAGCUCGUGUCGUGAGAUGUUGGGUUAAGUCCCGCAACGAGCGCAACCCUUGUUCACUGUUGCCAGCACGUUAUGGUGGGGACUCAGUGGAGACCGCCGGGGUCAACUCGGAGGAAGGUGGGGAUGACGUCAAGUCAUCAUGCCCCUUAUGUCCAGGGCUUCACGCAUGCUACAAUGGCUGGCACAGAGAGUGGCGAGCCUGUGAGGGUGAGCGAAUCUCGGAAAGCCGGUCUCAGUUCGGAUUGGGGUCUGCAACUCGACCUCAUGAAGUCGGAGUCGCUAGUAAUCGCAGAUCAGCAACGCUGCGGUGAAUACGUUCCCGGG